AAUCUCGAGAAGUGUUUUCCGCGUUGGCCUGUGUACAAGUCCCUUGGAACAGGGCGUCAUAGAGGGUGAGAAUCCCGUCCUUGACACAGACACCCAAUGCUUUGUGAUACACUCUCAAUGAGUCGAGUUGUUUGGGAAUGCAGCUCAAAAUGGGUGGUAAAUUCCAUCUAAAGCUAAAUACUGGCGAGAGACCGAUAGCGAACAAGUACCGUGAGGGAAAGAUGAAAAGCACUUUGGAAAGAGAGUCAAACAGUACGUGAAAUUGUUGAAAGGGAAACGAUUGAAGUCAGUCGUGCCUGCCUAGAUUCAGCCUUCUGGUGUAUUUCUAGGUCGGCAGGUCAGCAUCAGUUUGGGGGGGUUAACAAGGGAGCUGGGAAUGUGGCAACCUCGGUUGUGUUAUAGCCCAGUUUCGCAUUGAUCUCGCUGGACUGAGGAACGCAGUGCGCCCGCAAGGGUUGGUCUUCGGACACAUUCGCACUUAGGAUGCUGGCAUAAUGGCUUUAAACGACCCGUCUUGAAACACGG
RNAcentral lists this ribosomal RNA (525 nucleotides) under Cystofilobasidium infirmominiatum. RNAcentral's name for it is "eukaryotic LSU rRNA". It matches the Rfam family "Eukaryotic large subunit ribosomal RNA", at positions 147 to 664 of the family's 3401-position model. Lineage: Eukaryota; Fungi; Basidiomycota; Tremellomycetes; Cystofilobasidiales; Cystofilobasidiaceae. The record is from RNAcentral.